RNAcentral lists this ribosomal RNA (186 nucleotides) under Lysinibacillus fusiformis. RNAcentral describes it as "16S rRNA. Bacterial SSU". It matches the Rfam family "Bacterial small subunit ribosomal RNA", at positions 19 to 199 of the family's 1533-position model. Lineage: Bacteria; Bacillati; Bacillota; Bacilli; Caryophanales; Bacillaceae. The record is from RNAcentral.
CUGGCUCAGGACGAACGCUGGCGGCGUGCCUAAUACAUGCAAGUCGAGCGAACAGAGAAGGAGCUUGCUCCUUCGACGUUAGCGGCGGACGGGUGAGUAACACGUGGGCAACCUACCUUAUAGUUUGGGAUAACUCCGGGAAACCGGGGCUAAUACCGAAUAAUCUGUUUCACCUCAUGGUGAAAC